GGGGGUUUGGCAGAGUUGGUCAAUUGCGUCCGCUUGAAGAGCGGAAGAUUUGGGUUCGAUUCCCAAAGCCCCCA
This 74-nucleotide transfer RNA is filed under the name Bacteroidota bacterium. Its description in RNAcentral is "Bacteroidetes bacterium (activated sludge metagenome) tRNA-Phe". It matches the Rfam family "tRNA". From Rfam's summary of the family: Transfer RNA (tRNA) molecules are approximately 80 nucleotides in length. Their secondary structure includes four short double-helical elements and three loops (D, anti-codon, and T loops). The record is from RNAcentral. Lineage: Bacteria; Pseudomonadati; Bacteroidota. RNAcentral also lists the same sequence under 1 other name.